CCUACGGGAGGCAGCAGUGGGGAAUAUUGCGCAAUGGGGGAAACCCUGACGCAGCGACGCCGCGUGAGGGAUGAAGGUUUUCGGAUCGUAAACCUCUGUCAGCAGGGAAGAAAAUGACAGUACCUAACUAAUAAGCACCGGCUAACUCCGUGCCAGCAGCCGCGGUAAUACGGAGGGGGCAAGCGUUACGCGGAUUUACGGGGCGGAAGGGGAGCGUAGACGGCAGAGCAAGUCAGAAGUGAAAUCCCAUGGCUUAACCAUGGAACUGCUUUGGAAACUGUGCAGCUAGAGUGCGGGAGAGGUAAGUGGAAUUCCUGGUGUAGGGGUGAAAUCCGUAGAGAUUAGGAGGAACACCAGUGGCGAAGGCGACUUACUGGAACAUAACUGACGUUGAGGCGCGAAAGCGUGGGGAGCAAACAGGAUUAGAUACCCGUGUAGUC
This 440-nucleotide ribosomal RNA is filed under the name uncultured bacterium. RNAcentral's name for it is "partial 16S ribosomal RNA". It matches the Rfam family "Bacterial small subunit ribosomal RNA", at positions 338 to 795 of the family's 1533-position model. The record is from RNAcentral.